CUACGUGCCAGCAGCCGCGGUAAUACGUAGGGCGCAAGCGUUGUCCGGAAUUAUUGGGCGUAAAGAGCUCGUAGGCGGCUGGUCGCGUCUGUCGUGAAAACUUCCGGSUCAACCGGGGGCUUGCGGUGGGUACGGGCCGGCUAGAGUGCGGUAGGGGUAACUGGAACUCCUGGUGUAGCGGUGGAAUGCGCAGAUAUCAGGAAGAACACCGAUGGCGAAGGCAGGUUACUGGGCCGUUACUGACGCUGAGGAGCGAAAGCGUGGGGAGCGAACAGGAUUAGAUACCCUGGUAGUCCAUGCCGUAAACGUUGGGCACUAGGUGUGGGGGACAUUCCACGUUUUCCGCGCCGUAGCUAACGCAUUAAGUGCCCCGCCUGGGGAGUACGGCCGCAAGGCUAAAACUCAAAGGAAUUGACGGGGGCCCGCACAAGCGGCGGAGCAUGCGGAUUAAUUCGAUGCAACGCGAAGAACCUUACCAAGGCUUGACAUGUUAACCG
RNAcentral lists this ribosomal RNA (497 nucleotides) under uncultured bacterium. Its description in RNAcentral is "bacterial SSU rRNA". It matches the Rfam family "Bacterial small subunit ribosomal RNA", at positions 501 to 995 of the family's 1533-position model. The record is from RNAcentral.